UUUCUGCCCUAUUAUGUUUCGAUGGUAGGAUAUAGGCCUACAAUUCAAUUGAUGGGUAACGGGGAAUUGGGGUUUGAUACCGGAGAGGGAGCUCGAGAAACGGCUACCACUUCCAAGGAAGGCAGCAGGCGCGCAAAUUACCCACUGGCGACACGCCGAGGUAGUGACAACAAAUAAGUAUGCAGGUCCCACAGGGAUUUGCAAUACGAAUGAGUACAAAUUAAACCCCUUAACGAAAGCCACUGGAGGGCAAGUCUGGUGCCAGCAGCCGCGGUAAUUCCAGCUCCAGUAGCGUAUAUUAAAGCUGUUGCGGUUAAAAAGCUCGUAGUCGGAUUUAAGGAUAAUUUUUUGGAAUGUUGGUCAAAAUUGUUUUGUACUGAUUUCCUUUUAUCCUUUUAUAACCUUUUCUGAAUACUCGUUUCUGCUCUUCAUUGAGUGGGAAUAACAAAAAGUUUGAGAAUUAAAGGAAACUUUAUUCCUUUUCUUUUGAGUUUCAGAUUUUUUACUUUGAAAAAACCAGAGUGUUCAAAGCAGGCGUUUUUAAUGUCUUGAAUACAUUAGCAUGGGAUAAUACUAUGGGACUCUUGACUCAUAUUUAUUGGUUUCAGAUUUAAGAGUAACGAUCAAUAGGGACAGUUGGGGUGAUUCUUAUUUCUUCAAUAGAGGUGAAAUUCUGUGACUGAAGAAGAAGAACUAGUGCGAAAGCAUUUCACAAGGAUGUUUUCAUUGAUCAAGAACGAAAGUUGAGGGAUCGAAGGCGAUCAGAUACCGCCCUAGUCUCAACCAUAAACUAUGCCGACCAGGGAUUGAAAGACGUUAAAAAUUUAAUAAAGACUCCUUCACCACCUUGUGAGAAGUCACAAGUCUUUGGGCUUCGGGGGGAGUAUGGUCGCAAGGCUGAAACUUAAAGGAAUUGACGGAAGGGCACCACCAGGAGUGGAGCCUGCGGCUUAAUUCGACCCAACACGGGAAAACUCACCAGGUCCAGACAAUAGAAGGAUGUACAGACUUGCAGAUCUUUAUAGAUUUAUUGGGUGGUGGUGCAUGGCCGUUCUUGGCUCGUGCGUUGACUUGUCUGGUUAAUUCCGUUAACGAGCGAGACCUCAGCCUGCUAAAUAGUCAUUCAAGGUGUCAUUCUUAAAAAAGUUGUUGGGUUUUUUUGGGGAUUUUAUUUUCAAAAUUUCUAAUAAUUUUUUUUAAGGACUACCUUUGAAUAUGGACUUCUUAGAGGGACCAUUCGUUUUUAGCGAAGGGAAGUUUGAGGCAAUAACAGGUCUGUGAUGCCCUUCGAUGUCCUGGGCUGCACGCGCGCUACACUGAUGGAUUCAACGAGUUUUAAUUUUAAACCUUGGCUGAAGAGUCUGGGAAAUCUUAUUAAAAUCCAUCGUGAUGGGGAUAGAUCAUUGAAAUUAUUGGUCUUCAACGAGGAAUUCCUAGUAAAUGCGAGUCAUCAACUCGCGUUGAUUACGUCCCUGCCCUUUGUACACACCGCCCGUCGCUCCUACCGAUUGGAUGAUCAGGUGAACA
RNAcentral lists this ribosomal RNA (1527 nucleotides) under metagenome. RNAcentral describes it as "SSU rRNA". It matches the Rfam family "Eukaryotic small subunit ribosomal RNA", at positions 304 to 1707 of the family's 1831-position model. The record is from RNAcentral.